UAGGGAAUCUUCCACAAUGGACGCAAGUCUGAUGGAGCAACGCCGCGUGAGUGAAGAAGGUUUUCGGAUCGUAAAGCUCUGUUGUUGGUGAAGAAGGAUAGAGGCAGUAACUGGUCUUUAUUUGACGGUAAUCAACCAGAAAGUCACGGCUAACUACGUGCCAGCAGCCGCGGUAAUACGUAGGUGGCAAGCGUUGUCCGGAUUUAUUGGGCGUAAAGCGGGCGCAGGCGGAAUGAUAAGUCUGAUGUGAAAGCCCACGGCUCAACCGUGGAACUGCAUCGGAAACUGUCAUUCUUGAGUGCAGAAGAGGAGAGUGGAACUCCAUGUGUAGCGGUGGAAUGCGUAGAUAUAUGGAAGAACACCAGUGGCGAAGGCGGCUCUCUGGUCUGCAACUGACGCUGAGGCUCGAAAGCAUGGGUAGCGAACAGGAUUAGAUACCCUGGUAGUCCAUGCCGUAAACGAUGAGCGCUAGGUGUUGGGGACUUUCCGGUUCUCAGUGCCGCAGCAAACGCAUUAAGCGCUCCGCCUGGGGAGUACGACCGCAAGGUUGAAAC
This 554-nucleotide ribosomal RNA is filed under the name uncultured bacterium. Its description in RNAcentral is "partial 16S ribosomal RNA". It matches the Rfam family "Bacterial small subunit ribosomal RNA", at positions 355 to 900 of the family's 1533-position model. The record is from RNAcentral.